This 74-nucleotide transfer RNA is filed under the name Elusimicrobia bacterium RIFOXYB2_FULL_49_7. RNAcentral describes it as "tRNA-Val". It matches the Rfam family "tRNA". From Rfam's summary of the family: Transfer RNA (tRNA) molecules are approximately 80 nucleotides in length. Their secondary structure includes four short double-helical elements and three loops (D, anti-codon, and T loops). The record is from RNAcentral. Lineage: Bacteria; Pseudomonadati; Elusimicrobiota.
GGGCGAUUAGCACAGUUGGUUAGCGCGCAUGCUUCACAUGCAUGAGGUCACAGGUUCAAGUCCUGUAUCGCCCA